GACGAACGCUGGCGGCGUGCUUAACACAUGCAAGUCGAGCGGUAAGGCCCUUUCGGGGGUACACGAGCGGCGAACGGGUGAGUAACACGUGGGUGACCUGCCUUCAGCUCUGGGAUAAGCCUGGGAAACCGGGUCUAAUACCGGAUAUGACCUCAUGACGCAUGUUGUGGGGUGGAAAGCCUUUGUGCGGCUGGGGAUGGGCCCGCGGCCUAUCAGCUUGUUGGUGGGGUGAUGGCCACCAAGGCGACGACGGGUAGCCGGCCUGAGAGGGCGACCGGCCACACUGGGACUGAGACACGGCCCAGACUCCUACGGGAGGCAGCAGUGGGGAAUCUUGCGCAAUGGGCGGAAGCCUGACGCAGCGACGCCGCGUGAGGGAUGACGGCCU
This 388-nucleotide ribosomal RNA is filed under the name uncultured bacterium. Its description in RNAcentral is "bacterial SSU rRNA". It matches the Rfam family "Bacterial small subunit ribosomal RNA", at positions 28 to 417 of the family's 1533-position model. The record is from RNAcentral.